UACAGAGGUCUCAAGCGUUGUUCGGAUUCACUGGGCGUAAAGGGUGCGUAGGCGGGUUUUUAAGUCAGGGGUGAAAUCCUGGAGCUCAACUCCAGAACUGCCUUUGAUACUGGCGAUCUCGAGUCCGGGAGAGGUGAGUGGAACUGCGAGUGUAGAGGUGAAAUUCGUAGAUAUUCGCAAGAACACCAGUGGCGAAGGCGGCUCACUGGCCCGGUACUGACGCUGAGGUGCGAAAGCGUGGGGAGCAAACAGG
This 253-nucleotide ribosomal RNA is filed under the name uncultured bacterium. RNAcentral describes it as "partial 16S ribosomal RNA". It matches the Rfam family "Bacterial small subunit ribosomal RNA", at positions 524 to 776 of the family's 1533-position model. The record is from RNAcentral.